Molecule: unclassified non-coding RNA, 214 nt
Filed under: Hevea brasiliensis (rubber tree)
Lineage: Eukaryota; Viridiplantae; Streptophyta; Magnoliopsida; Malpighiales; Euphorbiaceae
Source: RNAcentral
GUGCCAUCUCUCCUUGAAGAGAAUUUGGGACACUUCACCUCUCCCAAACAUCAUUAGUCCUGAAAUUAUGAGCUCUAGUCCAUCGAUCCCAAAUGUAGAAAAUUCUCUGACAAGGGGAGAAACACUACAAAUUGAUUUGACAGGUUGAAAUCCUGAACUUUAAUUUUAUACUAAAAGAAACAUGACUGAAAGAGAUAGAAAUCAGACAGUUGAC